UUAAGUUCAGCGGGUAUUCCUACCUGAUCCGAGGUCAACAUUCAGAAGUUGGGGUUUAACGGCGUGGCCGCGACGAUUACCAGUAACGAGGGUUUUACUACUACGCUAUGGAAGCUCGACGUGACCGCCAAUCAAUUUGAGGAACGCGAAUUAACGCGAGUCCCAACACCAAGCUGUGCUUGAGGGUUGAAAUGACGCUC
RNAcentral lists this unclassified non-coding RNA (200 nucleotides) under Fusarium sp. RNAcentral's name for it is "partial internal transcribed spacer 2". Lineage: Eukaryota; Fungi; Ascomycota; Sordariomycetes; Hypocreales; Nectriaceae. The record is from RNAcentral.